CGCGUUGGGAUCGCGGCGUGCGGCGGCAGACGGAGCCUGGGCUCCCAGCGGCAAGGUGAGGCAGAGCUGCGCUCCUCGCUGAACGCGGGCCGAGCUCGGCGGCUGCGGGGGAGACGCGCAGGAGCCCAGACCGCGACCGAGAGCGGGAGCUAGGCGGGCGGCGGCGGCGGAGGGGGAGCCCGCGAGCCGCCGGGCGGAGAGCCCAAGCCGCGCUGUCGCCGCGCAGGGACGACUUGGCCAACACUCACACACACUCACACACACCCAGCCCGAGCGGGCGCUCGCGGCGAACCGUCAACAUGGCGCUGGGGCUCCUGCCCGAGCGCGGGCGGCGGCGGCAGCGCGGGAGCUGCUGAGCUCGGCCAAGCCCAGUCCAGCUGCGGGAGCCCGGAGGAUCGCACGGGG
Molecule: long non-coding RNA, 405 nt
Filed under: Homo sapiens (human)
Lineage: Eukaryota; Metazoa; Chordata; Mammalia; Primates; Hominidae
Description: LHRI_LNC1629.1
Source: RNAcentral